GAUGAAGAACGCAGCGAAAUGCGAUAAGUAAUGUGAAUUGCAGAAUUCAGUGAAUCAUCGAAUCUUUGAACGCACAUUGCGCCCGCCAGUAUUCUGGCGGGCAUGCCUGUUCGAGCGUCAUUACAACCCUCAGGCCCCCGGGCCUGGCGUUGGGGAUCGGCGGAGCCCCCCGUGGGCACACGCCGUCCCCCAAAUGCAGUGGCGGUCCCGCCGCAGCUUCCAUCGCGUAGUAGCUAACACCUCGCGACUGGAGAGCGGCGCGGCCACGCCGUAAAACACCCAACUUCUGAAAUGUUGACCUCGGAUCAGGUAGGAAUACCCGCUGAACUUAAGCAUAUCAAUAAGCGGAGGA
This 352-nucleotide unclassified non-coding RNA is filed under the name soil metagenome. Its description in RNAcentral is "partial contains 5.8S ribosomal RNA, internal transcribed spacer 2, and large subunit ribosomal RNA". The stretch from base 1 to 120 matches the Rfam family "5.8S ribosomal RNA", at positions 35 to 154 of the family's 154-position model. The record is from RNAcentral.